GUAGGGAAUAUUGGACAAUGGGGGGAACCCUGAUCCAGCCAUGCCGCGUGGAGGAAGACUGCCCUCUGGGUUGUAAACUCCUUUUAUAUGGGAAGAACCGUCCUCAUUAAUGAGUGACCUGACGGUACCAUAGGAAUAAGCACCGGCUAACUCCGUGCCAGCAGCCGCGGUAAUACGGAGGGUGCAAGCGUUAUCCGGAUUCACUGGGUUUAAAGGGUGCGUAGGCGGAUAAAUAAGUCAGUGGUGAAAUCAACGGGCUCAACCUGUUAACUGCCAUUGAUACUGUGUAUCUUGAAUAUGAGAGAGGUAGGCGGAAUGUUGCAUGUAGCGGUGAAAUGCUUAGAUAUGCUACGGAACACCGAUUGCGAAGGCAGCUUACUAUUUCGUAAUUGACGCUGAGGCACGAAAGCGUGGGUAGCGAACAGGAUUAGAUACCCCAGUAGUCC
This 446-nucleotide ribosomal RNA is filed under the name uncultured bacterium. RNAcentral's name for it is "partial 16S ribosomal RNA". It matches the Rfam family "Bacterial small subunit ribosomal RNA", at positions 354 to 796 of the family's 1533-position model. The record is from RNAcentral.